UAAAGGAAUUGGCGGGGGAGCACCGCAACGGGAGGAGCGUGCGGUUUAAUUGGAUUCAACACCGGAAAACUCACCAGGAGCGACGGUUACAUGAAAGUCAGGCUGAUGACCUUACUCGAUUUUCCGAGAGGUGGUGCAUGGCCGUCGUCAGUUCGUACCGUAAGGCGUUCUCUUAAGUGAGAUAACGAACGAGACCCUCACCAAUAGUUGCUACCGUAUCUUCCGAGGUGCGGGCACACUAUUGGGACCGCUGGCGCUAAGUCAGAGGAAGGAGAGGUCAACGGUAGGUCAGUAUGCCCCGAAUCUCCUGGGCUACACGCGCGCUACAAAGGGCGGGACAAUGGGCUCCGACACCGAAAGGUGAAGGUAAUCUCGAAACCCGUCCGUAGUUCGGAUUGAGGGUUGUAACUCACCCUCAUGAAGCUGGAUUCCGUAGUAAUCGCGAAUCAACAACUCGCGGUGAAUAUGCCCCUGCUCCUUGCACACACCGGCCA
RNAcentral lists this ribosomal RNA (494 nucleotides) under uncultured archaeal symbiont ST124. RNAcentral describes it as "bacterial SSU rRNA". It matches the Rfam family "Archaeal small subunit ribosomal RNA", at positions 857 to 1352 of the family's 1478-position model. The record is from RNAcentral.